This is a long non-coding RNA of Mangifera indica (mango), 831 nucleotides long. RefSeq lists it as uncharacterized. The record is from RefSeq and is a predicted model, not a curated record. The transcript is spliced from 2 exons. Lineage: Eukaryota; Viridiplantae; Streptophyta; Magnoliopsida; Sapindales; Anacardiaceae.
GAAGAGAACAAAAGCCUUUGUUUUUUUUUCUAUAUAUUUAAGGCAACCUGAAGAUACCUCUAGGAAAAGACGAAUCAUCGCCAAGAAGAAACCGCUCAUCUCUCAAUUUCCUCCUUUCUUUCUUUCUUUCUGUGUAUGUUGUAGGUCUCUGCGUAAAGACGAAGAAAGGCUCUUGUUAAAGAUGAAGAAAUUGGAGGUUGUAUCAGAAAGAUUGGGGAGAGUUGUAAAUGAAGAUGAAGGUAUUGGCACGGCUCAAUGUAAAGACGUGGCUAGGGUUUUAUUAGCCAUGUAUUUUCAUUGAGCCGCGUCAAUAUCUCCUUUUGCACCUCUCUCCCACCUGUUCUGGGCUUGAAAAUUAAUUUCUGCUUCGAGUUCUGCAGAUUUAUAUUGACGGCGAAUAGAAGAUAGAGACAUAUGUAAAGAGGAAAGACAGAAACAAAACGUUACGAAUACUCAAGAAAAUAGUAGACAACUGUUACGAUAUUUAUUAUCGAUAGUGAGAGAGAGGAGAAACAGACAAAGAAAAUGAAGGAAUCGACAACCUCUGAGACACCGUAAGCUAGCUGGUUUGGCCGGAACCAUAACUGCAAGUUUAUUGGGACCUACGAUCCCUUACUUUCAGUUGGGUUGGCAUUAAAUUCGAUUCCUUCUUCAGCCCUACUUCAAUUAGUACUUCAUCUUUGUGAAUUAUGAUGUUUGUCCAACAAGUCUCUUUGUACAUGAUAUUAGAUAUAUGGUACAAACACUAGCUACCUAGGGUUUUUUUAUAUAGUAUAGAAACCAAACUCAUAUUAAACUACAUUAAUAGGCUCAUCUAUUUAGUUUUGGGUU